This 253-nucleotide ribosomal RNA is filed under the name uncultured bacterium. RNAcentral describes it as "partial 16S ribosomal RNA". It matches the Rfam family "Bacterial small subunit ribosomal RNA", at positions 524 to 776 of the family's 1533-position model. The record is from RNAcentral.
UACGGAGGAUCCAAGCGUUAUCCGGAAUCAUUGGGUUUAAAGGGUCCGUAGGCGGUUUAAUAGGUCAGUGGUGAAAGCCCAUCGCUCAACGGUGGAACGGCCAUUGAUACUGUUAAACUUGAAUUAUUAGGAAGUAACUAGAAUAUGUAGUGUAGCGGUGAAAUGCUUAGAGAUUACAUGGAAUACCAAUUGCGAAGGCAGGUUACUACUAAUGGAUUGACGCUGAUGGACGAAAGCGUGGGUAGCGAACAGG